UAACGAGAGGAGCGCAUGCGUGAAAUGGAAUUGCUCCUGGAACUUGGAGUGAGCGGUCUGGGGGAAGAUAGAGGCCUUUCUCGGGCCGUGUGUGAGCCUGCUGAGGGAGACAGAGUGUGGAAAAUCUUCUCUGCGUUAAUCUUAUGGUUAUCAACCCCAUAAACACGGUUGAAAAUUAAUUGUUUGGCGUUUGUUCACAUUGUCCAGUGAAUCUUAGAAACGUGACAAUCCUAUAAAGGACCUGCAUUGGAAUCACUGGAUUAAAAGUUUCGAGUGAAACAUUUGAAAUAGCGUCCGUUGAUCUGCUGUUGAACAGUUGGUGGAUUGGGAGCUGGAUAUUGAACUAUGUAAGCAUUCGGGUUCCUUCGAGUAGCCGCAGUCGUAGAGCUGUACAGUUGUUUCUCCGUUUCCCGAUUUCACUCACUUGGUAUAGAAUUACGUGGAAAAAAAAGUGAACAGACAAGGAGUAGCUCAAAGUAAGAAUGGAAUCGGACCAGCGGCUCUGUUUGAAUUGCUGAAUUUGAUGGAAAAAACGUCCUAAUGUUUAGAACAGAAUGUUACAUUGAUCAGUUCGAUACUGUCAAAAUCGCCUAAUGUUGAUUUAGAAGAGAUACCUCUGUCUUCCUCCAGGAAAAUGCUUGACCGACCAAGGCAACGUAACAGUUCCUUGGCACAAAGCCGAGUGUUACCAGCUCCUUUGAACAAACAGCAGGUAAAUUCAUGAAAGACCAAGACAAUGUAAUAUUUGCUCGGUGCAAAGCCAAAUGUGACCAGCUUCUUCUGACAAACAACAGGUAUGCAACGACUGUCCGAGCAGUGAACUUCAUUUCCACAGUCAGAGUGGACUCUGACAGACUCACAUUGAGCUCAAUUUCCAGGGAGAUAUAAGCAAACCAAGAGUCAGACACCACCAAGGAAGUAGAAGUUUAUUAUUUCUCUUCCUCCAUUCACAAAGUAAACCACUCCUUUUCCAAUAAAUUUCAUCAGUCAUUGUCAUUGACGUUCACACCAUUUUUGAAGAGGAAUAGACUGAAUCCUCAUGUAAAAUAUACACACAGAAACUAACUCAAAUCUACAUUUAUUGAGGGCAUCUUUAAAGUUCCAACCAAAGUUUUAAAAAGAAAUCAUGCUGUUGUACGUAAUUUCAACAAUCUUACUUGAGGUAGAUGUUAAUUAGAAAUAUAGAAGGAUAUGUAAAGUAAAGCAAGAGUCACAACUGCAUUUAGUUUACCAAUCACUGAACAGGACAGAGUUACUCCAUUGGUAAAUCUUUAUCCCAUGCUUAGACACAACAAAGAAAUAAUGUGAAUUACAAACACAUUCUGUGCCAAAGUCUGACAAAUAGACCAAAAGAACUGCAGAUGUUGGAAAACAGAAACAAAAACAGAAAUUGCUGGAAAAACUCUGUGAGUCUGGCAGUAUAUCACAUACAGUGUGAUAGAGUUCAACAGCACAGAAAAUGGUCCUUUAACCCAUCAAAUCUGCAGAAGUCAGGUACAACCAGAGAAAUAUUCUGCCCCCAUUUAGAUAGCAUUUCAUUUCCAUAAAUGUAUCAUGCUGGCAGAGGAGCUGCCAUGCUUAACUUUAUCACAGCAUAAUUCUCCAUUUUCCCCCUUGUUGGAGGAAUAGAAUUUCUUUCUAUUUUCUCUGCAGCAGAAAGACUUGUUUUUAUACUUGUAUGCUCUUGUUUUCAAAUUUGCUUAAGCAUUCUGCAAUGAGCCCUGUAUACCUACUUCUUAACCCUGUUUAUGAAGUAUUAAAUUAAACUGGACCCUGUCUGUUGAAAGUCUAUCACAUAUGAGAGAGUUUGGAAAGACUAUAUACAGAAACCGGCAGCUCCAUUGAAUAUUA
Molecule: long non-coding RNA, 1851 nt
Organism: Rhincodon typus (whale shark)
Lineage: Eukaryota; Metazoa; Chordata; Chondrichthyes; Orectolobiformes; Rhincodontidae
Exons: 2
Source: RefSeq, a predicted model, not a curated record